CUUUACUGCAGCUUUGCAGUGGCGCCAGGAAUUGGAUGUGUAGGAUAGGUGGGAGGCUUUGAAGCCGGGGCGCCAGCUCUGGUGGAGCCACCGUUGAAAUACCACCCUUUCGGUUUUUGGCGUCUAACCGCGCCGGGUCAUCCCCGGCCGGGACCCUGCAUGGCGGGCAGUUUGACUGGGGCGGUCGCCUCCCAAAGUGUAACGGAGGCGCGCGAAGGUGGGCUCAGGCUGGUCGGAAAUCAGCCGCUGAGUGCAAUGGCAAAAGCCUGCCUGACUGCGAGACUGACAAGUCGAGCAGAGACGAAAGUCGGUCAUAGUGAUCCGGUGGUCCCGCGUGGAAGGGCCAUCGCUCAACGGAUAAAAGGUA
RNAcentral lists this ribosomal RNA (367 nucleotides) under uncultured organism. Its description in RNAcentral is "bacterial LSU rRNA". It matches the Rfam family "Bacterial large subunit ribosomal RNA", at positions 2099 to 2465 of the family's 2925-position model. The record is from RNAcentral.